GCACGCAUCUCUUUCAUCAGCCUUGCAGCUUCCUCAAACAUGCCAGCACGACUAAGACAACCAAGAAUGGUGUUGUAAGAGACAGCAUCGGGUUUAAUUUUUGAAUGUUUCAUCUUUGUAAACAUCUCGAUCGCCCGUUGGGGAUCACUGGUCUUGGCCAAACCAUUUAGUAUUAUGUUGAAUGAGUUUAUUUGAAUGUUUCAUCUUUGUAAACAUCUCAAUCGCCCGUUGUGGAUCACUGGUCUUGGCCAAACCAUUUAGUAUUAUGUUGAAUGAGUUUAAGUCGGGAGCACAACCAUUUUCCUCCAUAGCACGAAGCAUGGAAAAAGCGUCAUCUAGCAUACCUGCUCUCACCAGC
This 358-nucleotide long non-coding RNA is filed under the name Nicotiana benthamiana. RNAcentral describes it as "long non-coding RNA (NBEN_LNC019739)". Lineage: Eukaryota; Viridiplantae; Streptophyta; Magnoliopsida; Solanales; Solanaceae. The record is from RNAcentral.